GGACUACUGGGGUAUCUAAUCCUGUUCGCUCCCCUAGCUUUCGCGCCUCAGCGUCAGUUACCAGCCAGGACACUGCCUUCGCCUUUGGUAUUCCUCCGGAUAUCUACGCAUUUCACCACUCCACCCGGAAUUCUAUGUCCCUCUCUGGUCCUCAAGUUGAACAGUUUUCGUCAGGCCUUGCUCAGUUAAGCCGAGCACUGUCACUGCAAACUUAUCCAACCGCCUGCACGCCCUUUACGCCCAGUAACUCCGGACAACGCUUGCCCCCUACGUAUUACCGCGGCUGCUGGCAC
This 293-nucleotide ribosomal RNA is filed under the name uncultured bacterium. RNAcentral's name for it is "partial 16S ribosomal RNA". The record is from RNAcentral.